ACCUUUAAAGUAUGUAUUCAUACAUUUGACUUCCAAUCAAAAGAUACCAAUAAAUAUC
This 58-nucleotide transfer RNA is filed under the name Cymothoa indica. Its description in RNAcentral is "tRNA-Gly". Lineage: Eukaryota; Metazoa; Arthropoda; Malacostraca; Isopoda; Cymothoidae. The record is from RNAcentral.